Molecule: ribosomal RNA, 464 nt
Filed under: uncultured bacterium
Lineage: Bacteria
Description: bacterial SSU rRNA
Rfam family: Bacterial small subunit ribosomal RNA
Source: RNAcentral
UGGCGGCGUGCCUAACACAUGCAAGUCGAGCGAGGAGAUCCUUCGGGAUGAUCCUAGCGGCGGACGGGUGAGUAACACGUGGGCAACCUGCCUCAUAGAGAGGAAUAGCCUUCCGAAAGGGAGAUUAAUACCUCAUAACAUUGCAGUUUCGCAUGAAACAGCAAUUAAAGGAGCAAUCCGCUAUGAGAUGGGCCCGCGGCGCAUUAGCUAGUUGGUGAGGUAACGGCUCACCAAGGCGACGAUGCGUAGCCGACCUGAGAGGGUGAUCGGCCACAUUGGGACUGAGACACGGCCCAGACUCCUACGGGAGGCAGCAGUGGGGAAUAUUGCACAAUGGGGGAAACCCUGAUGCAAGCAACGCCGCGUGAGUGAUGACGGCCUUCGGGUUGUAAAGCUCUGUCUUCAGGGACGAUAAUGACGGUACCUGAGGAGGAAGCCACGGCUAACUACGUGCCAGCAGCCGC